This 441-nucleotide ribosomal RNA is filed under the name uncultured bacterium. Its description in RNAcentral is "partial 16S ribosomal RNA". It matches the Rfam family "Bacterial small subunit ribosomal RNA", at positions 338 to 795 of the family's 1533-position model. The record is from RNAcentral.
CCUACGGGAGACAGCAGUGGGGAAUAUUGGGCAAUGGACGCAAGUCUGACCCAGCAACGCCGCGUGAAGGAAGAAGGCUUUCGGGUUGUAAACUUCUUUUAAGGGGGAAGAGCAGAAGACGGUACCCCUUGAAUAAGCCACGGCUAACUACGUGCCAGCAGCCGCGGUAAUACGUAGGUGGCAAGCGUUGUCCGGAUUUACUGGGUGUAACGGGCGUGCAGCCGGAGAGACAAGUCAGAUGUGAAAUCGUGGAGCUCAACUCCAUCCAGCCGUUGAAACUGAUGAUCUUGAGUGGGCGAGAAGUAUGCGGAAUGCGUGGUGUAGCGGUGAAAUGCAUAGAUAUCACGCAGAACUCCGAUUGCGAAGGCAGCAUACCGGCGCCCGACUGACGCUGAAGCACGAAAGCGUGGGUAUCGAACAGGAUUAGAUACCCCAGUAGUC